This 200-nucleotide ribosomal RNA is filed under the name uncultured bacterium. Its description in RNAcentral is "partial 16S ribosomal RNA". It matches the Rfam family "Bacterial small subunit ribosomal RNA", at positions 28 to 231 of the family's 1533-position model. The record is from RNAcentral.
GAUGAACGCUAGCGGCAGGCCUAACACAUGCAAGUCGAGGGGUAGAGUUCUUCGGAACUUGAGACCGGCGCACGGGUGCGUAACGCGUAUGCAAUCUACCUUAUACUAAGGGAUAGCCCAGAGAAAUUUGGAUUAAUACCUUAUGGUUAAUUGAAAAGGCAUCUUUUUAAUUAUAAGGAUUAAUUGGUAUAAGAUGAGCA